GGCGUUAUAGUGUAGUGGUUAUCACAGCGGAUUCUGAUGGACCGGACUCGAACCGGUUGAUUACGUAAUUCCGCUAACUCCGGUUCGAGUCCGGAUAAUGCCU
Non-coding RNA from Ceratobasidium sp. AG-Ba, 103 nucleotides. The record is from the annotation of a GenBank genome assembly. NCBI's taxonomy places the organism in Eukaryota, Fungi, Basidiomycota, Agaricomycetes, Cantharellales, Ceratobasidiaceae.